UUUUAUCUUUUUUCUUAGAUGAAAACACCCGUUCUCGUCCGAUCACGGAUGUUAAGUAUCGUCGGGCCGGGAUAGUACUUGGAUGGGGGACCGCCUGGGAACUCCCGGUGUCGUGGAGC
RNAcentral lists this ribosomal RNA (119 nucleotides) under Clytia hemisphaerica. Lineage: Eukaryota; Metazoa; Cnidaria; Hydrozoa; Leptothecata; Clytiidae. The record is from RNAcentral.